Molecule: ribosomal RNA, 431 nt
Filed under: uncultured bacterium
Lineage: Bacteria
Description: partial 16S ribosomal RNA
Rfam family: Bacterial small subunit ribosomal RNA
Source: RNAcentral
AACGAACGCUGGCGGCAUGCCUAACACAUGCAAGUCGAACGAAGGCUUCGGCCUCAGUGGCGCACGGGUGCGUAACGCGUGGGAAUCUGCCCUUUGGUUCGGAAUAACAGCUGGAAACGGCUGCUAAUACCGGAUGAUGACGAAAGUCCAAAGAUUUAUCGCCAGAGGAUGAGCCCGCGUUGGAUUAGGUAGUUGGUGGGGUAAAGGCCUACCAAGCCGACGAUCCAUAGCUGGUCUGAGAGGAUGAUCAGCCACACUGGGACUGAGACACGGCCCAGACUCCUACGGGAGGCAGAAGUGGGGAAUAUUGGACAAUGGGCGAAAGCCUGAUCCAGCAAUGCCGCGUGAGGGAUGAAGGCCCUAGGGUUGUAAAGCUCUUUUACCCGGGAAGAUAAUGACUGUACCGGGAGAAUAAGCCCCGGCUAACUCCG